RNAcentral lists this long non-coding RNA (1011 nucleotides) under Sorghum bicolor (sorghum). RNAcentral describes it as "long non-coding RNA (SBIC_LNC008764)". Lineage: Eukaryota; Viridiplantae; Streptophyta; Magnoliopsida; Poales; Poaceae. The record is from RNAcentral.
GGGGCUUGUAACCGUCACUUGCGUCUUGAGCAGUUAAAAGAUAGAACGGUCUAGUCAAGCGCCAUGUCUCUUAUUCUUGAUCAGCUAUAGCUCUGGAGUUUUUGUAGAUUUUCAAAAUAAAACUCAGAGAUUCCUUGUAUGACUCUCUCAAAUCUCUCUUUUGUGGUAUUUCUGGAUCCUUACCAAGGCAGUAAUGGUAUAUGCCUUCUCUCAAAGUAUGUGGUAUUUUUGGUAUGAGGCAUAGUGAUAUUGCCUUCUCUCUCACCCAACUCUAAUAAGGUUUUGAUAUCUGGAGCUCAUAGGUGGGAGACAGCUAAUACAUACUUACAAGACAUUUAAUGCAUAGUCAAACCAUGGAUCUAGAGAAACAAGUCAAUAAGUCAAAUCAAGAUGUGCAUGUGUGGCGAAUGAAUGGUUUAUGGUGAUGAUGGUGAUAAUGGUGAAAGCAAUGGUGAAAAUCAAAUUCUACGUUUGCUCUUUUAAGGGGAUACAUACCUUUCUUGCACUUUGAAGCUUUUUGAGGGGAAUGAGAUGCUCUAUAUUUUCUUUUUCUUUUCUCUCAGGUGGGUAUCUUGUACCCCUAAUUCUACUGUCGGACACUUGUCCAUUUUUACCUCUCGUCUCACUUUUUCUUUUCUUCGAUGUUUCGGGCACUUGUCCCUUUUUAUUUCCUUGUAUUCACUUUCUUUUUUUUCAGAGCACUCACCCUCCUGGAAUAAUGUAGCAAGUGGUAGUAACCAAAAUAUCUCGAGCAUUUAUUUCACGGGGAAUAACAGGGAUGGGAUAAUGUUUUUGGCUAUUCUCUCUCGGAUAGGAGUAGAAUAAUUUUAGGUGAAUCUGAAGAUGGAAAGGAGUGGAUGUAUGUGGAUGCGUACUUCCAGAGUAGAAGCAGCAUGUAUGAGUGAACGUGCAAGUGAAUCUUGAUUUUAACCGCAUGACAAGCUCCUAAGAGUCUACACAGCUUGACCACACUCAAUGCUCAUAAGCAGUAAAAAGUAAAUGUAUGGUUCA